Molecule: unclassified non-coding RNA, 222 nt
Filed under: Hevea brasiliensis (rubber tree)
Lineage: Eukaryota; Viridiplantae; Streptophyta; Magnoliopsida; Malpighiales; Euphorbiaceae
Source: RNAcentral
AGGCGAUGCCGCCCUCGAGGAAACUCUUGAAACCCAUGGGAGCCGAGAGAGGAGAGAGAGAAAAGAAAAAGGAAAGAAGAGAGAGGAGAAGGAGAGAGAAAGUCACCAAUCCGAGUUGGGGUUCAUCUCAGAAGAGACGAAGAGGUGGGAGUGGAGGGAGAAGGCGAUGGAGGAGGAGUGGGGGACGGAUGUCCUCUGAGACAUUCAAUUUCAAUGCUUUGU